AAAAAUGCUGUGAAAAAGAGGAGUAAAUAAUUAACUCUAAAGAGAGAAAAACCCCUAGGCUGGAAGGUUUUUUAGAGCCAUAAUUAUUGAAGGUAGCUUUGGAGCUUCUGUACUGAAGUGAUAGUAGGUGCAGACGGUUUGAAACCGUUAUAUAAAGUAAGCGUCUAUUUUAGCAUAUCAUGCUAAAAUAGAAAUUAAGGUGGUACCGCGAAAAAGAAACUUCGUCCUUAUU
RNAcentral lists this non-coding RNA (232 nucleotides) under Andreesenella acetica. RNAcentral describes it as "Clostridium aceticum T-box sequence". It matches the Rfam family "T-box leader". From Rfam's summary of the family: Uncharged tRNA acts as the effector for transcription antitermination of genes in the T-box leader family. T-boxes are found upstream of many aminoacyl-tRNA synthetase genes and some amino acid biosynthetic genes usually in Gram-positive bacteria. The record is from RNAcentral. Lineage: Bacteria; Bacillati; Bacillota; Clostridia; Peptostreptococcales; Natronincolaceae.